This 253-nucleotide ribosomal RNA is filed under the name uncultured bacterium. RNAcentral's name for it is "partial 16S ribosomal RNA". It matches the Rfam family "Bacterial small subunit ribosomal RNA", at positions 524 to 776 of the family's 1533-position model. The record is from RNAcentral.
UACGAACUGUGCAAACGUUAUUCGGAAUCACUGGGCUUAAAGGGUGCGUAGGCGGCUUGUUAAGUAGGGUGUGAAAUCCCCCGGCUCAACCGGGGAAUUGCGCCCUAAACUGGCGAGCUGGAGUGAGAUAGGGGUGUGUGGAACUUCCGGUGGAGCGGUGAAAUGUGUUGAUAUCGGAAGGAACGCCAGUGGCGAAAGCGACACACUGGGUCUCAACUGACGCUGAGGCACGAAAGCGUGGGGAGCAAACAGG